This 494-nucleotide ribosomal RNA is filed under the name uncultured bacterium. RNAcentral describes it as "partial 16S ribosomal RNA". It matches the Rfam family "Bacterial small subunit ribosomal RNA", at positions 28 to 523 of the family's 1533-position model. The record is from RNAcentral.
GAUGAACGCUAGCGGCAGGCUUAACACAUGCAAGUCGAGGGGUAUAGGUUUUCGGACCUAGAGACCGGCGCACGGGUGCGUAACGCGUAUGCAAUCUACCUUUUACAGAGGGAUAGCCCAGAGAAAUUUGGAUUAAUACCUCAUAGUAUAAUGAUUCGGCAUCGAGACAUUAUUAAAGUUCCAACGGUAAAAGAUGAGCAUGCGUCCCAUUAGCUAGAUGGUAAGGUAACGGCUUACCAUGGCGACGAUGGGUAGGGGUCCUGAGAGGGAGAUCCCCCACACUGGUACUGAGACACGGACCAGACUCCUGCGGGAGGCAGCAGUGAGGAAUAUUGGUCAAUGGGCGCAAGCCUGAACCAGCCAUGCCGCGUGCAGGAUGACGGUCCUAUGGAUUGUAAACUGCUUUUGUACAGGAAGAAACACUGGUUCGUGAACCAGCUUGACGGUACUGUAAGAAUAAGGAUCGGCUAACUCCGUGCCAGCCGCCGCGGUAA